Molecule: small nuclear RNA, 107 nt
Filed under: Castor canadensis (American beaver)
Lineage: Eukaryota; Metazoa; Chordata; Mammalia; Rodentia; Castoridae
Source: RNAcentral
GUGCUCACUUCAGUAGCACAUACACUAAAAUUGGAAUGAUACAGAAAAGAUUAUCAUGGUCCCUCUGUGAGGAUGUCAUGCAAAUUUGUGAAGUGUGCCAUAUUUUA